This 253-nucleotide ribosomal RNA is filed under the name uncultured bacterium. Its description in RNAcentral is "partial 16S ribosomal RNA". It matches the Rfam family "Bacterial small subunit ribosomal RNA", at positions 524 to 776 of the family's 1533-position model. The record is from RNAcentral.
UACGAAGGGGGCUAGCGUUGCUCGGAAUCACUGGGCGUAAAGGGUGCGUAGGCGGGUUUUUAAGUCAGGGGUGAAAUCCUGGAGCUCAACUCCAGAACUGCCUUUGAUACUGAAGAUCUUGAGUCCGGGAGAGGUGAGUGGAACUGCGAGUGUAGAGGUGAAAUUCGUAGAUAUUCGUAAGAACACCAGUGGCGAAGGCGGCUCACUGGCCCGGUACUGACGCUGAGGCACGAAAGCGUGGGGAGCAAACAGG